GGCCGAAGGCGAGCGCAGUGACUGGGGCGAAGUCGUAACAAGGUAGCCGUAGGGGAACCUGCGGCUGGAUCACCUCCUUAACGGA
RNAcentral lists this ribosomal RNA (85 nucleotides) under Gemmatimonadaceae bacterium. Its description in RNAcentral is "partial 16S ribosomal RNA". It matches the Rfam family "Bacterial small subunit ribosomal RNA", at positions 1454 to 1533 of the family's 1533-position model. Lineage: Bacteria; Pseudomonadati; Gemmatimonadota; Gemmatimonadia; Gemmatimonadales; Gemmatimonadaceae. The record is from RNAcentral.